GACGAACGCUGGCGGCGUGCCUAAUACAUGCAAGUAGAACGCAGUUGCGAACGGGUGAGUAACGCGUAGGUAACUGCCUCAUAGCGGGGGAUAACUAUGGGAACCGAUAGCUAAAACCCCUAACUUGGAGUGGAACUUGCGUUGUUUGGGUGAGGUGGUGAGGUAAAGGCGCACCAAGGCGACGAUCCAUAGCCGACUUGAGAGGGUGAUCGGCCCCACUGGGACUUAGACACGGCCCAGACUCCUACGGGAGGCAGCAGUAGGGAAUCUUCGGCAAUGGACGGAAGUCUGACCGAGCAACGCCGCGGGAGUGAAGAAGGUUUUCGGAUCGUAAAGCUCUGUUGUUAGAGAAGCGGUAACUAACCAGAAAGGGACGGCUAACUACGUGCCAGCAGCCGCGGUAAUAC
Molecule: ribosomal RNA, 407 nt
Filed under: uncultured bacterium
Lineage: Bacteria
Description: partial 16S ribosomal RNA
Rfam family: Bacterial small subunit ribosomal RNA
Source: RNAcentral